UAAGAGGAAAAUCCGUCGACUKUAAAAAUCGUGAGGGUUCAAGUCCCUCUAUCCCCAA
RNAcentral lists this transfer RNA (58 nucleotides) under Cremastosperma sp. Graham 635. RNAcentral describes it as "partial tRNA-Leu". The record is from RNAcentral. Lineage: Eukaryota; Viridiplantae; Streptophyta; Magnoliopsida; Magnoliales; Annonaceae.